GACGAACGCUGGCGGCGUGCUUAACACAUGCAAGUCGAACGGAAAGGCCCUGCUUUUGUGGGGUGCUCGAGUGGCGAACGGGUGAGUAACACGUGAGUAACCUGCCCUUGACUUUGGGAUAACUUCAGGAAACUGGGGCUAAUACCGGAUAGGAGCUCCUGCUGCAUGGUGGGGGUUGGAAAGUUUCGGCGGUUGGGGAUGGACUCGCGGCUUAUCAGCUUGUUGGUGGGGUAGUGGCUUACCAAGGCUUUGACGGGUAGCCGGCCUGAGAGGGUGACCGGCCACAUUGGGACUGAGGUACGGCCCAGACUCCUACGGAGGGCAGCAGUGGGGAAUAUUGCACAAUGGGCGGAAGCCUGAUGCAGCAACGCCGCGUGCGGGAUGACGGCCUUCGGGUUGUAAACCGCUUUCGCCUGUGACGAAGCGUGAGUGACGGUAAUGGGUAAAGAAGCACCGGCUAACUACGUG
RNAcentral lists this ribosomal RNA (468 nucleotides) under uncultured bacterium. Its description in RNAcentral is "partial 16S ribosomal RNA". It matches the Rfam family "Bacterial small subunit ribosomal RNA", at positions 28 to 507 of the family's 1533-position model. The record is from RNAcentral.